AAGGCUAAAUACUAAUCUUCGACCGAUAGUGAACCAGUACCGUGAGGGAAAGGUGAAAAGCACUCCUGCUAGGAGAGUGAAAUAGUACCUGAAACCGCAUGCCUACAAGCAGUGGGAGGUCCGCAAGGACUGACCGCGUGCCUUUUGCAUAAUGAGCCGGCUAGUUAUUCUAUGCAGCAAGGUUAAAUCAACUGAUGGAGCCGUAGCGAAAGCGAGUCCGAACAGGGCGAUUCAGUUGCAUGGAAUAGACGCGAAGCUGAGUGAUCUACCCUUGGCCAGGAUGAAAGCAGGGUAACACCUGCCGGAGGUCCGAACCAGUGUUGGUUGAAAACAGCUUGGAUGAGCUGAGGGUAGGGGUGAAAGGCUAAUCAAACUCAGUGAUGGCUCGUUCUCCCCGAAAUAGCUUUAGGGCUAGCCUUGAGAAGAGUUAAUCCCGGAGGUAGAGAGCUGGAUGGACUAGGGGCCUUACAGGGUUACCGAAUCCAACCAAACUGCGAAUGCCGGAGAUUAUCAGCUCAGGAGUCAGACUGUGGGGGCUAAGCUUCACAGUCGAGAGGGAAAGAACCCAGACCACCAGCUAAGGUCCCGAAAUACGAGCUAAGUGGGAAAGGAUGUGGAAACACUUGGACAACCAGGAGGUUGGCUUAGAAGCAGCCAUCCUUUAAAGAAAGCGUAACAGCUCACUGGUCAAGUGGGUCCGUGCCGACAAUAUAACGGGGCUAAAGCUCGAUACCGAAGCUGUGGAUUACCUGCCAUAAGAAGCAGUAAUGGUAGGGGAGCAUUCCAUAGGCCUGUGAAGUCAGAUGGUGACAUCUGGUGGAGGUAUUGGAAGAGACCCUGCCGGCAUAAGUAGCGAUAAUCGCGGUGAAGAACCCGCGACGCCGAAAGUCUAAGGUUUCCUGGGGAAGGUUAAUCCGCCCAGGGUCAGUCGGUCCCUAAGCUCAGGCCGAAAGGCGUAGGCGAUGGAGAUGCCGUCAACAUUCGGCAACCACCCGUGUGGCGUUAUCCAGCGAUGGGGAGACGCAGAAGGAUAGGCUGGACUCCGAUUGGAAGUGGAGUUUCAAGCUGGUAGGGGGCAUGCUCAGGAAAAUCCGGGUGUGCGUUAACUCCGAGAAGCGAUGUCGAGCCGCAAGGCGCAAAGCAGCUGAUUCCACACUGCCGGGAAAAUCCUCUAGUGAGCCGCACAGGUGACCGUACCGCAAACCGACACAGGUAGACGAGGAGAGAAUCCUAAGGCGCUUGAGAGAACACUCGUUCAGGAACUCGGCAAAUUAACUCCGUAACUUCGGGAGAAGGAGUGCCCACGGUAGGUGAAAUCUCUAGCGGAUGGAGCUGAGGUGGGUUGCAGUGAAUAGCGUCAGGCGACUGUUUACUAAAAACACAGCACUCUGCGAAGACAAAAAAUCUAGGUAUAGGGUGUGACGCCUGCCCGGUGCCGGAAGGUUAAAAGGAGGAGUUAUUGGGGGCGACCCUGAGAAGCUCUGAAUUGAAGCCCCGGUGAACGGCGGCCGUAACUAUAACGGUCCUAAGGUAGCGAAAUUCCUUGUCGGGUAAGUUCCGACCUGCACGAAUGGCGUAACGAUCUGACGACUGUCUUAACGAGUGACUCAGCGAAUUUGUAAUACCGGUGAAGAUGCCGGUUACCCGCCACUAGACGGAAAGACCCCGUGCACCUUUACUACACUUUAGCAAUGUACUUCGGUGCGGUAUGCGCAGGAUAGGUGGGAGGCUAUGAACUGUGGGUUUUGGCCUGCAGGGAGCCGACGGUGAGAUACCACUCUUAUUGUACUGAGGUACUAACCUACGCUCGUGGACCGGGCGAGGGACAUUGCUUGACGGGUAGUUUGACUGGGGCGGUCGCCUCCUAAACGGUAACGGAGGCGCUCGAAGGUAUGCUCAGGCUGUUUGGAAAUCAGCCAUCGAGUGUAAAGGCAUAAGCAUGCUUAACUGCGAGACAGACAAGUCGAGCAGAUGGGAAACCAGGACUUAGUGAUCCGGUGGUUCUGAAUGGAAGGGCCAUCGCUCAACGGAUAAAAGGUACGCCGGGGAUAACAGGCUGAUCUUGCCCAAGAGUUCAUAUCGACGGCAAGGUUUGGCACCUCGAUGUCGGCUCAUCGCAUCCUGGAGCUGAAGAAGGUUCCAAGGGUUGGGCUGUUCGCCCAUUAAAGCGGUACGUGAGCUGGGUUUAGAACGUCGCGAGACAGUUCGGUCCCUAUCUGUGGUGGGCGCAGGAUAUUUGAGAGGAUCUAUCCUUAGUACGAGAGGACCGGGAUGGACGAACCUCUUGUGCACCAGUUGUCGUGCCAACGGCAUAGCUGGAUAGCGAAGUUCGGAAGGGAUAAACGCUGAAAGCAUAUAAGCGUGAAACCCACCUCAAGAUAAGAUAUCCCCACCCGCGAGGGUGCUGAAGACCCCUGGAAGACCACCAGGUGAUAGGCUGGGUGUGGAAGCGCAGUAAUGCGUGAAGCUUACCAGUACUAAUCGGUCGUGAGGCUUGACCAUAAAA
RNAcentral lists this ribosomal RNA (2506 nucleotides) under Acidobacteriota bacterium. RNAcentral's name for it is "Acidobacteria bacterium (anaerobic digester metagenome) partial 23S ribosomal RNA". It matches the Rfam family "Bacterial large subunit ribosomal RNA", at positions 462 to 2925 of the family's 2925-position model. The record is from RNAcentral. Lineage: Bacteria; Pseudomonadati; Acidobacteriota.